RNAcentral lists this ribosomal RNA (406 nucleotides) under uncultured bacterium. Its description in RNAcentral is "partial 16S ribosomal RNA". It matches the Rfam family "Bacterial small subunit ribosomal RNA", at positions 30 to 526 of the family's 1533-position model. The record is from RNAcentral.
AUUGAACGCUGGCGGCAGGCCUAACACAUGCAAGUCGAACGAGUGGCGGACGGGUGAGUAAUGUCUGGGAAACUGCCUGAUGGAGGGGGAUAACUACUGGAAACGGUAGCUCAUACCGCAUACCAUCGGAUGUGCCAAGAUGGGAUUAGCUAGUCGGGGGGGUAAAGGCGAACCUAGGCGACGAUCCCUAGCUGGUCUUAGAGGAUGACAUGCCAAACGGGAACGGAGACACGGUCCAGACUCCUACGGGAGGCAGCAUUGGGGAAUAUUGCACAAUGGGCGAAAGCCUGAUGCAGCCAUGCCGCGUGGAUGAAGAAGGCCUUCGGGUUGUAAAGUACUUUCAGCGGGGAGGCGUUACCCGCAGAAGAAGCACCGGCUAACUCCGUGCCAGCAGCCGCGGUAAUUC